GCUUGUCUCAAAGAUUAAGCCAUGCAUAUCUAAGAAUAACUAACAUUAUCUUGAAUCUGUGAAUGGCUCAUUAUAUCAGUUAUAGUUUACAUGAUAGUCAAUACUACUUGGAUAACCGUAGUAAUUCUAGAGCUAAUACAUGCGAAAAGUCCUGACUUCUUCGUGAGGGAGGGAUGUAUUUAUUAGAUACAAUCAAACGCACCAACAUAAAACCUUGGUGAUUCAUAAUAACUGUUCGGAUCGUAUGGCUUUUUGCCGACGACAGAUCAUUCAAAUUUCUGCCCUAUCAGCUUUCGACGGUACUGUAGUGGACUACCGUGGCAUUAACGGGUGACGGAGAAUUAGGGUUCGAUUCCGGAGAGGGAGCCUGAGAAAUGGCUACCACAUCCAAGGAAGGCAGCAGG
Molecule: ribosomal RNA, 404 nt
Filed under: uncultured eukaryote
Lineage: Eukaryota
Description: partial small subunit ribosomal RNA
Rfam family: Eukaryotic small subunit ribosomal RNA
Source: RNAcentral